Molecule: ribosomal RNA, 253 nt
Filed under: uncultured bacterium
Lineage: Bacteria
Description: partial 16S ribosomal RNA
Rfam family: Bacterial small subunit ribosomal RNA
Source: RNAcentral
UACGUAGGUGACAAGCGUUGUCCGGAUUUACUGGGCGUAAAGAGCGCGCAGGCGGUCGAUCAAGUCGAGUGUGAAAGCCCCCGGCUCAACUGGGGAGGGUCAUUCGAUACUGAUCGACUCGAAGGCAGGAGAGGGUAGUGGAAUUCCCGGUGUAGUGGUGAAAUUCGUAGAUAUUCGCAAGAACACCAGUGGCGAAGGCGGCUUACUGGUCCGGUUCUGACGCUGAGGCGCGAAAGCGUGGGGAGCAAACAGG